RNAcentral lists this small RNA (637 nucleotides) under Pan troglodytes (chimpanzee). RNAcentral's name for it is "retained intron". The record is from RNAcentral. Lineage: Eukaryota; Metazoa; Chordata; Mammalia; Primates; Hominidae.
GGCAAAUCUGUUUGAAUAGAGAUACUAGCCAUGCUGCCCAUUAGGGCUUUCUGGCCCUGAAAAAGAUACGGAGUAUUCUUGGAAAGUUGAAGGGAAAAAGAAUAAACUGAUCCAUGUAGUAGCAUGCAGAUUAUUGAGGAAUUUUCUAAAGGUAUCUCUCGGUGUAUUUCUCUACUUACCUGUAAUAAUGCUUUUGUCUUAAUAGGGUGGUUCUCUUCCCAAAGUGGAAGCCAAAUUCAUCAAUUAUGUGAAGAAUUGCUUCCGGAUGACUGACCAAGAGGCUAUUCAAGAUCUCUGGCAGUGGAGGAAGUCUCUUUAAGAAAAUAGUUUAAACAAUUUGUUAAGAAUUUUCCGUCUUAUUUCAUUUCUGUAACAGUUGAUAUCUGGCUGUCCUUUUUAUAAUGCAGAGUGAGAACUUUCCCUACCGUGUUUGAUAAAUGUUGUCCAGGUUCUAUUGCCAAGAAUGUGUUGUCCAAAAUGCCUGUUUAGUUUUUAAAGAUGGAACUCCACCCUUUGCUUGGUUUUAAGUAUGUAUGGAAUGUUAUGAUAGGACAUAGUAAUAGCGGUGGUCAGACAUGGAAAUGGUGGGGAGACAAAAAUAUACAUGUGAAAUAAAACUCAGUAUUUUAAUAAAGUA